RNAcentral lists this transfer RNA (87 nucleotides) under Pseudomonas reidholzensis. RNAcentral describes it as "tRNA-Gly". The record is from RNAcentral. Lineage: Bacteria; Pseudomonadati; Pseudomonadota; Gammaproteobacteria; Pseudomonadales; Pseudomonadaceae.
GCCUCCGGUGGACGGUUUGGCCUGGCCCAGUCGACCUUCCAGGUCGGCGGUAACGCCGGCUCGGCGUUCGGCCCGCUGCUGGCGGCG